This 117-nucleotide ribosomal RNA is filed under the name uncultured bacterium. Its description in RNAcentral is "partial 16S ribosomal RNA". The record is from RNAcentral.
CUGCUGCCUUCCGUAGGAGUCUGGUCCGUGUCUCAGUACCAGUGUGGGGGACCUUCCUCUCAGAACCCCUACGCAUCGUCGCCUUGGUGGGCCGUUACCCCGCCAACAGCUAACNCG